GGAAUUUCUCUGUAAGGUGUCCAUAGACUACUUGUAAGAUGGAGAUCAAACAAGACGAAGUUGGGUUUAAAAACCCCUGUAGGGAGUAGGUAGGGAGUGUUAAACCCCCGUAGGGAGUAGGUAGGGAGUGUUAAACCCCCGUAGGGAGUAGGUAGGGAGUGUUAAACCCCCGUAGGGAGUAGGUAGGGAGUGUUAAACCCCCGUAGGGAGUAGGUAGGGAGUGUUAAACCCCCGUAGGGAGUAGGUAGGGAGUGUUAAACCCCCGUAGGGAGUAGGUAGGGAGUGUUAAACCCCCGUAGGGAGUAGGUAGGGAGUGUUAAACCCCCGUAGGGAGUAGGUAGGGAGUGUUAAACCCCCGUAGGGAGUAGGUAGGGAGUGUUAAACCCCCGUAGGGAGUAGGUAGGGAGUGUUAAACCCCCGUAGGGAGUAGGUAGGGAGUGUUAAACCCCCGUAGGGAGUAGGUAGGGAGUGUUAAACCCCCGUAGGGAGUAGGUAGGGAGUGUUAAACCCCCGUAGGGAGUAGGUAGGGAGUGUUAAACCCCCGUAGGGAGUAGGUAGGGAGUGUUAAACCCCCGUAGGGAGUAGGUAGGGAGUGUUAAACCCCCGUAGGGAGUAGGUAGGGAGUGUUAAACCCCCGUAGGGAGUAGGUAGGGAGUGUUAAACCCCCGUAGGGAGUAGGUAGGGAGUGUUAAACCCCCGUAGGGAGUAGGUAGGGAGUGUUAAACCCCCGUAGGGAGUAG
Oncorhynchus keta (chum salmon) is the source of this 740-nucleotide long non-coding RNA. RefSeq lists it as uncharacterized. The record is from RefSeq and is a predicted model, not a curated record. The transcript has 3 exons. Lineage: Eukaryota; Metazoa; Chordata; Actinopteri; Salmoniformes; Salmonidae.